CGAGUAGGUGGCUCGAUAAGUAGGAGGUGAAAUCUCACGGCUCAACCGGGAGGCUGCCUUCUAGACUGUCGAGCUCGAGCAUGGUAGAGGCAGAUGGAAUUCCCGGUGUAGCGGUGGAAUGCGUAGAGAUCGGGAAGAACACCAGUGGCGAAGGCGGUCUGCUGGGCCAUAGCUGACACUGAAUCGCGACAGCGUGGGGAGCAAACA
RNAcentral lists this ribosomal RNA (207 nucleotides) under uncultured bacterium. RNAcentral describes it as "partial 16S ribosomal RNA". It matches the Rfam family "Bacterial small subunit ribosomal RNA", at positions 568 to 774 of the family's 1533-position model. The record is from RNAcentral.